CCUACGGGAGGCAGCAGUGGGGGAUAUUGCACAAUGGGGGAAACCCUGAUGCAGCGACGCCGCGUGAGUGAAGAAGUAUUUCGGUAUGUAAAGCUCUAUCAGCAGGGAAGAAAAUGACAGUACCUGAGCAAGAAGCCCCGGCUAACUACGUGCCAGCAGCCGCGGUAAUACGUAGGGGGCAAGCGUUAUCCGGAUUUACUGGGUGUAAAGGGAGCGUAGGCGGGUCUGUAAGUCUGGUGUGAAAGACCGGGGCACAACCCCGGGACUGCAUUGGAAACUGUGUAGCUGGAGUGCAGGAGGGGCAGGCGGAAUUCCUGGUGUAGCGGUGAAAUGCGUAGAUAUUAGGAGGAACACCAGCGGCGAAGGCGGCCUGCUGGACUGUAACUGACGUUGAGGCUCGAAAGCGUGGGGAGCAAACAGGAUUAGAUACCCUUGUAGUC
Molecule: ribosomal RNA, 440 nt
Filed under: uncultured bacterium
Lineage: Bacteria
Description: partial 16S ribosomal RNA
Rfam family: Bacterial small subunit ribosomal RNA
Source: RNAcentral